UACGAAGGGUGCUAGCGUUGCUCGGAAUUACUGGGCGUAAAGGGCGUGUAGGCGGCACUGUUAGUCAGGCGUGAAAGUCCUGGGCUCAACCUGGGAACUGCGCUUAAUACGGCAGAGCUAGAGGAUGGAAGAGGCUCGCGGAAUUCCCAGUGUAGAGGUGAAAUUCGUAGAUAUUGGGAAGAACACCGGUGGCGAAGGCGGCGAGCUGGUCCAUUACUGACGCUGAGGCGCGAAAGCGUGGGGAGCAAACAGG
Molecule: ribosomal RNA, 253 nt
Filed under: uncultured bacterium
Lineage: Bacteria
Description: partial 16S ribosomal RNA
Rfam family: Bacterial small subunit ribosomal RNA
Source: RNAcentral